This is a long non-coding RNA of Lagopus leucura (white-tailed ptarmigan), 2438 nucleotides long. RefSeq lists it as uncharacterized. The record is from RefSeq and is a predicted model, not a curated record. The transcript is spliced from 6 exons. NCBI's taxonomy places the organism in Eukaryota, Metazoa, Chordata, Aves, Galliformes, Phasianidae.
GCUUGAUCAAAGUCAACACUCAGAGCUCCAUACUACACAGCUUUCCUGUUUAGAAAUUCUCCAAAACAUCUUGGUGUUGAUUUUGUCUGGCAGAAAUUGUUUUAGCAAUGCUUUCUCACAAUGAAGGUAGCUGCCAGAGCUCCUACCAAGGUAUCAUAGGCAAGGGAAGAACAUUUAUGGAAGCGCUGGACUUUGAAGGUUGACUCUGGCACAGUUAUGUUAAUUCUAAAAGAAAAUCUGAAGUUCUCUCACCCAGAUCAACAGCAUUUUUAGAAAUAAACCAAGAUGUCUGAUGAGAUGCAAUCAAUCUGUUGUGAGCAAUGAGCAAAAAAAUCUCUCUGAUGGAGAGGAGGGAAGCCCUGUAAAGCAAUUACCAGAUAGUUGGUUGGUCUUUGCUGACCUCUGCUCAGCUCUGAAAAGAUUUGUCUUUAGAAGCAAAGGGAAAAAAUCCAUCUUGGGAAAUGAACAUGCACGUGUCCAAAGAAAAAUGGGACGACUUCAGUUCUGUAGAAAAACUGAACCUCAGAGAAUGACUAUUUUGGAAGAAUCUCGGAUAAAACUUCAAACUCUUUGUUCAAGUGUCUCUACUGUAAGUGGAUUCGUGCACCUUCCCUGGAAUGAAAUAAGGUCUUCUGAAAAUGUUCCAUCUGGAAGGAAGCAGGAAAGACUCAUUUUGUAUAGCAUUUGACUUGGACCACAUUGAAGGGAAAGACUCAGGAGCAGCAGCAGAUGCAGGAGCAUUAAUAAAUUGCUAAUCUGUCCUCAUUAACAAAGAAGUCCUUCCAGAGUGGAUAUUAAGACAAAGAGCAUUUGGCAUUUGUGCAGACUUAAGUGAACAUCUGUUUUUCUGAUGUCGGAAGAUUCAUUGUGCGAUAAUGGAAGCAAAGCCUCAAAGGAAAAUCCUUUUGCUGAUAAAAUGAAGAUUCCCCCGUAUCCAAACAUGCCAAAAUCCCAAGACUUUUAUCCUGUAAGAAAUGAAUGAAGAAAACAUCUCCCCUUGAAAAUGUGACAGUUGUCUGUGCUCUCGUCUAGAAAGGAGGUUACAAACAUUUAAUGCAAAGGCUGUGUGCCUGAUUUAUCAUCUGCUGAAUUCAAGGGCAAAUAUGUGAUUUUGUUCAUUAUAGUACCUUUCGUCUGUUCAGCUCAAUCACAUCAGAACAUUCAAAAGCUCUGUAGCUGUGUCUUUUCCUUUUGAGAAUAAAAAGCUAUUAUGAGAAAAGUUGUUAUGUUGAAAAACUGGUACUAAUGGAAUUAAAUGUCCGGGUUAACCUUAGUAGAAAUGUUUUCAUUGAGAUAACUCAAUUUAAUAUGACAUAAUAGAAUUUUGUAGUAUAUGUUAAAACCCAAAUGAAGAUGUGUAAAAGUAAAGAAUGAAAGUCCCUUAGAGAAACCUGCUUAAAGCUGAUUGUUUGAAAUUGCAAUAACCUUAUAACCCCUUGUUCCUGUGAUGAGAUAAUGAUACAAUUCUGAAGCAGGUGACUUAGUGAUGUAUGCUGCACUCAGAUCCUUCCUACCUGGUGAGAUUUAUUGAAAGCUGACUGCUGAACUCUGUUCUAUGCCUCAUGCUAUCUAUCUGUCUUGGAGAUGUUGAAUGCUAUAAUUACAUUUUGCUUCAUUUCCUGUAUAAUGUAUGUGAAAACUCUUCCAUGGUAGGAAAGUACAAAGUCCAGAUAACAAGACCAUGACAAUGUAUAUGAUUUGAUGGUUGUUGAGAUUGCAGCUCGAACUGCCCAUGACUCAACUACUUCCAAGGUCAACCAACACAAGUGAGCUCAAGCAGCACGGCACUUUGGAGGCUGUGUAAAACAAAAAUGCUUUGCUAUGUUUAAUCAACAUCAAUCUUAACGCCAUUAUACCUAUAAAUUGAGGUGUGUCUAAGGGUCGAGAAAGGAGAAAUGGUGAAUCUGGUUGGGUUACAAUGACGUUUAGCCUGUAGCAUGCUGCCUUUGUGUAGAGAUACUAAGAAUGGUUUUGUGCCAGGGUAUAAUGUUCUGAAGUCUCCAAAGCUUUGGUAUUUUGUUUUAUUAUGCUUUCCAAGUUUCCUUUUUGGCAGCGAUACUAGGUGUAUGUAUACGUCAGUUUUUUUAAGUAAUAUAUUUCUUAAUGCCACAUGUGAUUUAUUUUUUUUUUUUCCUUAGAAAACUUUUCUAAAUAAAUCAUUAUGCUACCAGUUCCUCUCAUCACCAGCCAGGUCUAAAUUACAUCUAGAGAUAAUAAGCUAGAUUUGUUUCCCAGGCAAAGGAUGUUUUAUGUCUUCAUUAUGUACCGUUGAGAUGGUUUGUGGACUUGGCAUAGGUAGAGUUUCUGAAUCCAGGCUUAAUGUCACGAAGUCUGUAUAUUCUGGCUGCCUUUCCUUGUAUUUUCACCAUAUGCUUCAUUUGCUGAGAAACAGAAAUGGGCCACAAGGCUAUUACAAAUGAGCAUGUUGGCCACUGAAA